This 336-nucleotide ribosomal RNA is filed under the name uncultured Spongospora. Its description in RNAcentral is "SSU rRNA". It matches the Rfam family "Eukaryotic small subunit ribosomal RNA", at positions 611 to 955 of the family's 1831-position model. The record is from RNAcentral. Lineage: Eukaryota; Endomyxa; Phytomyxea; Plasmodiophorida; Plasmodiophoridae.
GACUUGUGUGUGUUGCUGUUCAGCGGUCUGCAUUCAAAAGAGUGUUACGACAUGCGGCAGUGGCGCCGUAAAAUCUUCAACUGGAUCGCAACUGGACUUAAUUGCCUGGUUGCAGUCAUUCGGUUGAUCGUUUACUGUGAGAAAAUUAGAGUGUUCAAGGCAGGCAUUAUUGCAAUUGAAUAUGUUAGCAUGGAAUAAUAAGAUAAGACUUCGGUUUUGUUUUGUUGGCUUGACGAACCAAAGUAAUGAUUGAAAGGGAUAGUUGGGGGUGCUAGUAUUCAGUGGUCAGCGGUGAAAUGCGAGGACCCAUUGAAGACUAACUUAUGCGAAAGCAUU